This is a long non-coding RNA of Erinaceus europaeus (western European hedgehog), 515 nucleotides long. RefSeq lists it as uncharacterized. The transcript has 3 exons. The record is from RefSeq and is a predicted model, not a curated record. NCBI's taxonomy places the organism in Eukaryota, Metazoa, Chordata, Mammalia, Eulipotyphla, Erinaceidae.
UCACUGGGUGUGCUCUGGCAUUAGAUCAAACCCUCCCCGAGGAGAGAGAACCCAGAAAGCCUAAAGUCAGCAAUGAGUUAGCCAGUAACAGAACAUAGACUUUUCCUCUGGGGGAACAAACAGAAACAUCUUGCAAAAUUUGCACUGUCUGACCUCCAACCUGUCUGCUCCCCACAUAGGGAGGCAUCCAGGCCCUGGCAACUAGUUUCUUAGGUCUGGAGGCUGACCUCUGAAGCCCAGCCCACCACCACGCCGCUGCCUUGCCUCUGCUAUAGUUACAAGGAUGGCACCACCACUGUCACCAGGUUUCUAUCGCACCCUAAUCAACGCAAUGUGUGCCACCCCAACAUGCUUCACUUCAGACAGUGACCAGAGACUUCAGGUGUGGAAUGACAACUCUUCAGCUUCAUCACUCAGCCACCAGGUUCCAGAUGCCAUCAGGAUGCCGGCCAGGCUUCCCUGGACUGAAGACACCACCAAUGUGUCCUGAAGCUCUGCUUCCACUGAGACCCACU